GACGAACGCUGGCGGCGUGCCUAAUACAUGCAAGUAGAACGCUGAAGGAGGAGCUUGCUCUUCUGGAUGAGUUGCGAACGGGUGAGUAACGCGUAGGUAACCUGCCUGGUAGCGGGGGAUAACUAUUGGAAACGAUAGCUAAUACCGCAUAACAGUAGAUGUUGCAUGACAUUUGCUUAAAAGGUGCAAUUGCAUCACUACCAGAUGGACCUGCGUUGUAUUAGCUAGUUGGUGGGGUAACGGCUCACCGAGGCGACGAUACAUAGCCGACCUGAGAGGGGGGUCGGCCAACCUGGGACCUGGACACGGCCCAGACUCCUACGGGAGGCAGCAGUAGGGGAUCUUCGGCAAUGGACGGAAGUCUGACCGAGCAACGCCGCGUGAGUGAAGAAGGUUGUCGGAUCGUAAAGCUCUGUUGUAAGAGAAGAACGAGUGUGAGAGUGGAAAGUUCACACUGUGACGGUAUCUUACCAGAAAGGGACGGCUAACUACGUG
RNAcentral lists this ribosomal RNA (495 nucleotides) under uncultured bacterium. RNAcentral's name for it is "partial 16S ribosomal RNA". It matches the Rfam family "Bacterial small subunit ribosomal RNA", at positions 28 to 507 of the family's 1533-position model. The record is from RNAcentral.